AUUUUUUAAUCCACAUUAAAGACUAAGAAAACAAGCAUGGUUUCAAAUGGCCCUCUGCGCUGUCAGUGAUUACUUGUGCUUGAUGUCACUGUCCUUCACAAAAUGUGAUAAUAAUGUUAGCUGAAAGCAUAAGAACCAAGUUUGACUCCACAGAAGCAGCUGGAAAUGAAUAACCACGUGCUUAAAUCUCCUAGGAACACACUGUUUGGCAUAUACUGCUGAAAGUUCCUCAUACUAAGUAGUGACAUACUUACGUUGUAUCUCAGCUGGUGUGCAUGGGGGAAUAUUCAUUUCUCAGUGGUAACAUGGAAUUUGAUCUUAUAAAAUGUUUUGAUAUACGUUUAAUGGAUUGAAACACUUUGAAG
RNAcentral lists this long non-coding RNA (365 nucleotides) under Zonotrichia albicollis (white-throated sparrow). RNAcentral's name for it is "Prostate cancer antigen RNA 3 conserved region 2 (ENSZALG00000012560.1)". It matches the Rfam family "Prostate cancer antigen RNA 3 conserved region 2". The record is from RNAcentral. Lineage: Eukaryota; Metazoa; Chordata; Aves; Passeriformes; Passerellidae.